Molecule: ribosomal RNA, 440 nt
Filed under: uncultured bacterium
Lineage: Bacteria
Description: partial 16S ribosomal RNA
Rfam family: Bacterial small subunit ribosomal RNA
Source: RNAcentral
CCUACGGGUGGCAGCAGUGGGGAAUAUUGCACAAUGGGGGAAACCCUGAUGUAGCGACGCCGCGUGAGUGAAGAAGUAAUUCGUUAUGUAAAGCUCUAUCAGCAGGGAAGAAAAUGACGGUACCUUAGUAAGAAGCCCCGGCUAACUACGUACCAGCAGCCGCGGUAAUAGGUAGGGGGCAAGCGUUAUCCGGAUUUACGGGGUGUAAGGGGAGGGUAGACGGCAGUGAAGGCCUGGAGUGAAAGGCGGGGGCUAAACCCCUGGACUGCUCUGGAUACUGUACGGCUGGAGUGCAGGAGGGGUAAGUGGAAUUUCUAGUGUAGCGGUGAAAUGCGUAGAUAUUAGGAGGAACACCAGUGGCGAAGGCGGCUUACGGGACUGUAACUGACGUUGAGGCUCGAAAGCGUGGGGAGCAAACAGGAUUAGAUACCCGAGUAGUC